GCUGGGCGCAGUGGUGCAUACCUAUAAUCCCAGUGGCUUGGGAGGCUGAGACAGGAGGAUCGAGAGUUCAAAGCCACCCUCAACAAUGAUGAGGUGCUCAGAAACUCAGUGAGACCCUGUCUCUA
RNAcentral lists this small RNA (125 nucleotides) under Marmota monax (woodchuck). Lineage: Eukaryota; Metazoa; Chordata; Mammalia; Rodentia; Sciuridae. The record is from RNAcentral.